GCCGCUAGCCCCGCCCUCGCGCCUGCGCCUGCGCCAACGGUCCUGCCUGUGGUAAAGACGCACGUGAUCGUGUCUCCCGGCUUCUCCCACGGCCGCCUCGCGAGCAGGCCCUUCUCUACAGCACAGACGCGCUUCAGUGUCCGGCUUUGUGUGGUGCGCGGGCAAGCGGAGUCCAUUGGGUUCGGAUUCUCCUCCUAACACGUGAACUGCGGGAGUGUGGAGUGGCAGCACCUGUUGUCUUCAGUCUUGUCCAGCACCCAUUUCUCGUCCUGUCAGAGCGUCAGCACUGAGGAGAGCAGAAGGGGAGCUCCAGCUCUGACUCACCGCCAGCAGAUCCAAGGAUGCUUAAAGAAUGUGUCAUAACUCAGAAGACUGAAUGGAACCCGCGCAAUUCUGCAUAACCAAACCACAGAGAAAGCAUUGUCAUGUAAAGUCAUGCCUUGUUGUUAUUCUUUUACAAAGUGGAUCAGGACUUCGUUCCAUGCCUUAAUGUAGAUUAACCGUUUGCUAGUUCAGAAGUCACAGGGUGAUCAUUCAUUUCCUGGUGGCCUCUGACUGUUGUGUCAUAGAAACACAGUUCCAACGUCAAUACUAUGAAACUAUUUACUAUGGAGCUUCACAUUUAACGUUUAAUAUUUGAUCUAUCUAAAAUUCCCUCUUCUAAAAAAAACCCAAAAUGACCACUUCCCUCAUAUAUUCUGCAUCCAAACACAAAGGGCCACAUAUAUGACUGCGCUGAUACGAAAAACACAGAAUAGGCAAAUUCAUAGAGACAGAAGGAUCAGUAAUUACCAGGGGCUAGGAGUAGGGGAAUGGAGUGACUGCUUGUUGCGUGCAGGAUUGGUGAAAUGUUCUGGAACUCAUGGUUGUGAGAAAUACAUAGCAUUGGGAAUGCACUAGGUGUCACUGAACUGUCCAUUUAAAACUCACUUAAAUAAUUUUAUGAGAGGUAAAUUUUAUGAGAUAAAUUAUGGCAAACCUUGAGAAUGUGAAAGAGCAAAACAGCAAAAAAACAAUGCAGUGGAAGGGGAGGGGAGGGCACUGCUGGGGCAGGAGCUGGCAUUGACAGUGGUGCUGUCAGAAGUAGGGUCCUGUGGGCCCCAUAGUCGGCCUCAACCCACCCAGUCCUCUUACCAGGUUCUUGACUCUGCCACAG
This is a long non-coding RNA of Galeopterus variegatus (Sunda flying lemur), 1156 nucleotides long. RefSeq lists it as uncharacterized. The record is from RefSeq and is a predicted model, not a curated record. Lineage: Eukaryota; Metazoa; Chordata; Mammalia; Dermoptera; Cynocephalidae. The transcript has 4 exons.